This is a long non-coding RNA of Polypterus senegalus (gray bichir), 425 nucleotides long. RefSeq lists it as uncharacterized. NCBI's taxonomy places the organism in Eukaryota, Metazoa, Chordata, Cladistia, Polypteriformes, Polypteridae. The record is from RefSeq and is a predicted model, not a curated record. The transcript has 3 exons.
AAGACUGUUAGCGUCAGCACCCACUCUUGGUCCCAAGUAGAACCUGGCAUACCUGGCAAGAACUGGCAGAACGAGCCUCUGACAACAGGUCCCCUCAGAUCCUUACAGAAGGGGUGGAGCCAGUUAGCAGCAGCACCCGCUCUCAGUCCCGAGAGGAACCUGGCAAACCUGACAAGAACUGGGAGGGCGAGUCUCUGACAACAGGUUUUCUGACUACGAGGCGCUAAGAUGGUCAACCCCAAGGAAUCUCCCAGACCCCCAGUGGACGCUGUGCUCAGCAAUAAUCGACCCAGCUGCCUUUUAAAGCCAACUCAGUGCUGACCUGUCUGUGAGUGCAUGAGGACUUGUUGUCAUUAAAGGGUUUAAACUGAACACGCAUGUCUGUGUGUGUGUCUGCCCCAUAUGUACAGUGGAACCUCGGGUCA